AUGUGAUAUUAACUAGCCUACGUAAUACAUAAUCAAUCUAUUUUUAGCGAGAAUAAAAAUUAUUGCAACAUUUCUUAAGAAAGUUGGCUUAACCUAAAAGGGGUCUAGGCAGAAGCAAGGUAGUUAAAGAAUAAGAGACUCUAGAUGGUUCUUAGUUAUUCAUUUUGCUGGGUCCGUGCCUGGGAUCCAAACCUGCGAACCCUGAUCCGCCAAAGCAGAGCGUGUGAACUUAACCACUACAUCACUGGGCCGGUGCCCCCAUUAUUUCUAUACUUUUGUUAGCUUUCAAAAGGUAACUGAUAAUCCCCCUUGAUCCCUGUAUAGACUAUUGAGAGACUGAAUAGAGCAUAUUAUCUAAGGGCUUAAUCCACUUUUCAUAAAAUAAACUAUUAAAAUAGACCAACAAGUGUUAUUUCAAACACAAAUCAGCUUUGUAUUUAAGAUAAAAUACCAUUUGGAGCAAGGCUUCAUAAAAUUAUAGAGCUGGGAAGUCAUUGAGGUGUUACCAUGUCUGGUUCGGCUCAAUCCCUUUACAAACCUGCCCCAGCGAUGGUCUCCCCAGGCCUGUGCGUGUAAGGAGCAGUCUUGUGGCAGCUCCACCUCCCAGGAGUGAGUUCCACAGCUACGUGUGUCCCCCACUCAUACAUCUCUGCCUUUCCUUCUCCAAGUCAAUACGUUUUACUUGUUUUCUGGCUCAUUUUCCUAGAGCUUUAGCUUUAUGGAUUGACUCUCUACCUUUCGAUAACUUCCAGUCUGGGGCCUCCUUUUCUGGUUUCUGAGCUAAUUACUUAUCCCUGGAGUUAAUUAUUUUCUUCACGAUGUGCAAGAAAACUGCAGCCCCUGACUGCUGUCUGCCUGGACCUGCCUGCCUCUCACAGCCAGACUGGGGGUUCUAUUGGACAUAAUUUCACAGAGCAUCAGUAUCAGACAGUGCCACUCUCUGAUCAUGAGUGGAGCCAGACAAAAACGAAACCACUCCAUAAACAUGUGUGCACAAAACCAAGAGCUCCGUCCAAACCAAAAUGGCCAAACGUUCCCCUUUCUGGGCUACCACGAGUGACUGUGCUUGACCAAUUCUAGCUUUGGCCUCACGCCAUUUCUCCUGUCUACUAGAAAGAAAUUGUUAAGAUAUUCAGUGAUAGAAUUGUUCCGGCUUUCUAUUUCUUUCUUUCUUUAUUUUAUUGAGGUCACGUUGGUUUAUAAUGUUAUGUAUAUUUCAGGUGUACAUCAUUAUAUUUUGACUUCUGUAUAGACUGCCUCACGUUCAUCACCGAUAGUCUAGUUUCCAUCCAUCACCACACACAUAUCCCUCUUUGCCCCUUUUGCCCUGCCCCCACUGCCUUCCCCUCUGGUAACUACCAAUCUAUUCUCUGUAGCUAUGUGUUUCUUUGUUUAUUUAUCUUCCACAGAUGAGAGAAGUCAUUUGGUAUUUGUGUUUCUCUGUCUGACUUUUUUUGCUUAGCAUAAUACCCUCAAGGUCCAACCAUGUUGUUGCAAAUGGCACAACUUCAUCUUUUUCAUGGCUGAGUAGUAUUCCAUUUCUGAUAGCACCCAAUUCAAAACAAAACCACACUUCCUUCAGCCUUCCUUAAAAUUACUGAUGAGCUCAAAUCUUAUCCAAGCUCACCUGAAAGCCCCCUCGCUGAGAUUCCUGUCCCGUGGUUCUCCAUAAUGGGGUGUCUCUCUCAUUGCAGUGAGCCAAUAAACCCAAGCCUGUUGAGAAUAGGUGUAUUUCCAGUGGUUUUUGGCCAGAAGGCAUAGGCCACGGAGAUUGCACAUCUGUGAAAUAUUCACUCAAUGACAACACACUUCUUAACGUGGUCUAUAAGCUCCCAAAUAUCGAGUAGCAGCAUUCUAGGCAGUCCCAGCAUGGUGGUUCUGUCCUCUGUGCAGACCUGAGCAAUCUAACUGAUUUCUUCCAUUUUCAGAUUAAAACACAACCACAGAAACAACACAACAACAGCAAGCAAAGUUGUGAUUUUUCCCCUCUCGGGCCGUCGGGUAGUUAGUGGCAGAGCCACGAUCAGCACCCAAUCUUCUCAUGCCUGGUGUAGUGCCUUUGCUGCCCUACCAUGCUGACUAUUUAAAGAAGUACAACUUCGAGGUCUAAUGUACUAUUGAGCACUAAAGCACUAAAUUCAAUUU
Equus caballus (horse) is the source of this 2145-nucleotide long non-coding RNA. Lineage: Eukaryota; Metazoa; Chordata; Mammalia; Perissodactyla; Equidae. The record is from Ensembl.